Arabidopsis thaliana (thale cress) is the source of this 225-nucleotide RNA transcript. RefSeq lists it as uncharacterized. The record is from RefSeq. NCBI's taxonomy places the organism in Eukaryota, Viridiplantae, Streptophyta, Magnoliopsida, Brassicales, Brassicaceae. The transcript has 2 exons.
UUCCUUGUGCGCAAUUCAUAGUUGUUGUCCAAGGCUUUGAAAAUUUCUCCACGCAUCUCAAGAGUGAAGAACAUAGAAAGAAUGGACGAUACUUCGAUAACGAUACAAAGCAGCUGAAAGCAAGAAGAAGAAGAAGAAGAAGAGGAUAUAAGAGUUGAUGGGUCCAUAUGGCGAAUGUCAAGACUCGCUUUUACUUUUCAGUUAACUAAUACUUUUAUAAGAAAU